GGUCGGGAGUACGAAGGUUAUGCAACACCCGUAAGGGGAAAGCCUUCUGCCGUUCUACUAGGCGGUGUUGAAGCUCCCGACCUUUUUUGC
RNAcentral lists this non-coding RNA (90 nucleotides) under Halodesulfovibrio spirochaetisodalis. RNAcentral's name for it is "sRNA-Xcc1". It matches the Rfam family "sRNA-Xcc1". Lineage: Bacteria; Pseudomonadati; Thermodesulfobacteriota; Desulfovibrionia; Desulfovibrionales; Desulfovibrionaceae. The record is from Rfam by way of RNAcentral.